Sinocyclocheilus rhinocerous is the source of this 319-nucleotide long non-coding RNA. RefSeq lists it as uncharacterized. The record is from RefSeq and is a predicted model, not a curated record. The transcript is spliced from 3 exons. Lineage: Eukaryota; Metazoa; Chordata; Actinopteri; Cypriniformes; Cyprinidae.
ACAGCUUCAGACUCAGCUUGAGUCUCAGCAUCUCUUUCACCUGCCGUCGAGACAAACUCAAGGACAAUAACCCCAAAGAUUUUGAGCAGCAGAAGAAAUAUCCUUAUGGAUUGUUAAGGCAACUUUGUGGACUGCCAUCUGAAUCACUACACCUGGAAACUUUGAGGAGACUCGCGCUCUGUCUGACAGGACAGAAGAGACGGAGACACAGGCAUCAUUGUCCAGUGAGGAUGAGGACGUUAUACUCUAGAUGGGUUCUGCAGCGGUGGUUCUUUGCUCUCUUCUUACUGUGCUCUCCUGUUCCGCACCACGGCAGGCC